Molecule: unclassified non-coding RNA, 388 nt
Filed under: uncultured Glomus
Lineage: Eukaryota; Fungi; Glomeromycota; Glomeromycetes; Glomerales; Glomeraceae
Description: SSU rRNA
Rfam family: Eukaryotic small subunit ribosomal RNA
Source: RNAcentral
AGCAGCCGCGGUAAUUCCAGCUCCAAUAGCGUAUAUUAAAGUUGCUGCAGUUAAAAGCUCGUAGUUGAAUUUCGGGAUCAAUAUGUUGGUCGUGCCUCGGUACGUACUAGCUUAUUGGUUUCUUCCUUCUGACGAACCAUAAUGUCAUUUAUUUGGUGUUAUGGGAAUCAGGACUGUUACUUUGAAAAAUUGAGUGUUUAAAGCAGGCUCAUGCUUGAAUACAUUAGCAUGGAAUAAUGAAAUAGGACGUUUGAUUCUAUUUUGUUGGUUUCUAGGAUCGACGUAAUGAUUAAUAGGGAUAGUUGGGGGCAUUAGUAUUCAAUUGUCAGAGGUGAAAUUCUUGGAUUUAUUGAAGACUAACUACUGCGAAAGCAUUUGCCAAGGAUGU